AACGAACGCUGGCGGCAUGCCUAACACAUGCAAGUCGAACGAGACCUUCGGGUCUAGUGGCGCACGGGUGCGUAACGCGUGGGAACCUGCCCUUAGGUUCGGAAUAACUCCCCGAAAGGGGUGCUAAUACCGGAUAAUGUCUUCGGACCAAAGAUUUAUCGCCUUUGGAUGGGCCCGCGUUGGAUUAGCUAGUUGGUGGGGUAAAAGCCUACCAAGGCGACGAUCCAUAGCUGGUCUGAGAGGAUGAUCAGCCACACUGGGACUGAGACACGGCCCAGACUCCUACGGGAGGCAGCAGUGGGGAAUAUUGGACAAUGGGCGAAAGCCUGAUCCAGCAAUGCCGCGUGAGUGAUGAAGGCCUUAGGGUUGUAAAGCUCUUUUACCCGGGAUGAUAAUGACAGUACCGGGAGAAGAAGCUCCGGCUAACUCCGU
RNAcentral lists this ribosomal RNA (432 nucleotides) under uncultured bacterium. RNAcentral describes it as "partial 16S ribosomal RNA". It matches the Rfam family "Bacterial small subunit ribosomal RNA", at positions 29 to 506 of the family's 1533-position model. The record is from RNAcentral.